CAAUAGCGUAUAUUAAAGUUGUUGCAGUUAAAAAAGCUCGUAGUUGGAUUUCUGGGAGGGUGCCAAUGUCCGUCGUCGUACGUGUUGCAGCGGCGCCCUUCCAUCCUUCUGUUAACGACUUUGGGCAUUCACUUGCCGGAGUCGGGCUCAGAUAUUUUACCUUGAGAAAAUUAGAGUGUUUCAGGCAGGCUAGGCCGGAAUAUAUUAGCAUGGAAUAAUAAGAUAGGACUUUGGUACUAUUUUGUUGGUUUGAGAACCAAGGUAAUGAUCAAUAGGGACAGUUGGGGGCAUUAGUAUUUAAUUGUCAGAGGUGGAAUUCUCGGAUUUGUUAAAGACUAACUUAUGCGAAAGCAUUUGCCAAGGAUGUUUUCAUUAAUCAAGAACGAAAGUUAGGGGAUCAAAGAUGAUUAGAUACCAU
This 418-nucleotide ribosomal RNA is filed under the name uncultured eukaryote. RNAcentral's name for it is "bacterial SSU rRNA". It matches the Rfam family "Eukaryotic small subunit ribosomal RNA", at positions 592 to 1018 of the family's 1831-position model. The record is from RNAcentral.